AAAGAAAGUAAGCAAGGGCGCAUGGCGGAUGCCUUGGCUCUCGGAGGCGAUGAAGGACGUGAUAAGCUGCGAUAAGCUCUGGGUAGGUGCAAAUAACCUUUGAUCCAGAGAUUUCCGAAUGGGACAACCCGGCAUUCUGAAGGAAUGUCAUCCAUCUUUGAUGGAAGCUAACGCAGGGAACUGAAACAUCUUAGUACCUGUAGGAAAAGAAAAUAAUAAUGAUUCCCCUAGUAGUGGCGAGCGAACGGGAAUAGCCCAAACCACCCAUGUUACGGCAUGUGUGGGGUUGUAGGACCACGAUGUCGCAAGACAUUUGAUGAGUAGAAUCCUCUGGAAAGUUGAACCAUAGACGGUGAUAGUCCGGUAUACGAAGUCAAAUUAAGCGUAGUGGUAUCCUGAGUAGCGCGGGACACGAGAAAUCUUGCGUGAAUCUGCCGGGACCAUCCGGUAAGGCUAAAUACUCCCGAGAGACCGAUAGCGAACCAGUACUGUGAAGGAAAGGUGAAAAGCACUUCGAAUAGAAGAGUGAAAUAGUCCCUGAAACCGUGCGCCUACAAGCGGUCGGAGCUGCUUAAGCAGUGACGGCGUGCCUUUUGCAUAAUGAACCUACGAGUUACUUUUUCCGGCAAGGUUAAGCAUCUUGAGAUGUGCAGCCGAAGCGAAAGCGAGUCUGAACAGGGCGUCGAGUCGGAAGGAGUAGACGCGAAACCAAGUGAUCUACCCUUGGUCAGGUUGAAGGUUAGGUAACACUAACUGGAGGACCGAACCGAUAAGCGUUGAAAAGCUUCCGGAUGAACUGAGGGUGGGGGUGAAAGGCUAAUCAAACUUGGAGAUAGCUCGUACUCCCCGAAAUGCAUUUAGGUGCAGCCUUGUGAGUUACUAAUGUGAGGUAGAGCGACUGAUAAGAUGCGAGGGCUUCACCGCCUAUCAAGUCUUGAUAAACUCCGAAUGCGCAUUAGUUCUAUCACAGGAGUGAGGGCAUGGGUGCUAAGGUCCAUGUCCUAAAGGAGAAGAAUCCAGACCAUCAGCUAAGGUCCCCAAAUAAACACUAAGUUGAACUAACGAAGUCAGAUUGCUAAGACAGCUAGGAUGUUGGCUUGGAAGCAGCCAUUCAUUUAAAGAGUGCGUAACAGCUCACUAGUCGAGGAGUUUGGCGUGGAUAAUAAUCGGGCAUUAAGUGUUUUACCGAAGCUAUGGGAUCAGUAAUGAUCGGUAGGGGAGCAUUCCACUCUGCGUCGAAGGUGAAGCGUGAGCUUUGCUGGAGCGUGUGGAAAAGCAAAUGUAGGUAUAAGUAACGAUAAAGGGGGUGAGAAACCCCCUCGCCGAAAGACUAAGGUUUCCUGAUCAACGCUAAUCGGAUCAGGGUUAGUCGGGUCCUAAGGCUCAGCCGAACGGUGAGGCCGAUGGCAGAACAGGUUAAUAUUCCUGUACUACCUUAAGGAGUGACGUGGAGACGGAGCAGUGACAGCGCCGCGGACUGACGGAAUAGUCCGUUGAAGGGUGUAGAUGUUGAUCAUCCCAGGCAAAUCCGGGAUGAGAGUCGAACCUGAUAGUAUGGAGCGUUCUUCGGAACAAUCCAAUAGUGCGUGUAAGCAUACUCCCAAGAAAAUCCGCUAAACUUAAUCCUUAAGGUACCCGUACCGCAAACGGACACACGUAGUCGGGUUGAAUAUACUAAGGCGCUUGAGUGAUUCACGGUUAAGGAACUAGGCAAAUUGACCCUGUAACUUCGGGAUAAAGGGUCCCAACGAGAGUUGGGCGCAGAGAAUAGGUCCAGGCAACUGUUUAACAAAAACACAGGGCUGUGCCAAAUUGAAAGAUUACGUAUACAGCCUGACACCUGCCCGGUGCUGGAAGGUUAAGAGGAGAUGUCAUCGCAAGAGAAGCAUUGAAUUGAAGCCCCAGUAAACGGCGGCCGUAACUAUAACGGUCCUAAGGUAGCGAAAUUCCUUGUCGGGUAAGUUCCGACCUGCACGAAUGGUGUAAUGAUCUGGACACUGUCUCAACCGUGAGCUCAGUGAAAUUGUAGUAUCGGUGAAGAUGCCGAUUACCCGCGAUGGGACGAAAAGACCCGUGAACCUUUACUAUAGCUUAACAUUGAAUUUGGGUAAUUGAUGUGUAGGAUAGCCGGAGACUUUGAAGCAGGUACGCCAGUAUUUGUGGAGUCGCUGUUGAAAUACGGCCCUUUGAUUAUUUGAGUUCUAACUCGUAGUUGCGAGGACACUGUUUGGUGGGUAGUUUGACUGGGGUGGUCGCCUCCAAAUAGUAACGGAGGCUUCUAAAGGUGCCCUCAGGACGAUUGGUAACCGUCCGUAGAGUGUAAUGGCAUAAGGGCGCUUGACUGGGAGACUAACAAGUCGAUCAGGUAGGAAACUAGAGCAUAGUGAUCCGGUGUUUCCGUAUGGAAGGGACAUCGCUCAAAGGAUAAAAGGUACUCCGGGAUAACAGGCUGAUCCCUCCCAAGAGCUCAUAUCGACGGAGG
This 2482-nucleotide ribosomal RNA is filed under the name Bacteroides thetaiotaomicron. RNAcentral's name for it is "bacterial LSU rRNA". It matches the Rfam family "Bacterial large subunit ribosomal RNA", at positions 1 to 2514 of the family's 2925-position model. Lineage: Bacteria; Pseudomonadati; Bacteroidota; Bacteroidia; Bacteroidales; Bacteroidaceae. The record is from RNAcentral.